This 448-nucleotide ribosomal RNA is filed under the name uncultured bacterium. Its description in RNAcentral is "bacterial SSU rRNA". It matches the Rfam family "Bacterial small subunit ribosomal RNA", at positions 39 to 482 of the family's 1533-position model. The record is from RNAcentral.
GUAGCAGGCCUAACACAUGCAAGUCGAGCGGAUGACGGGAGCUUGCUCCUUGAUUCAGCGGCGGACGGGUGAGUAAUGCCUAGGAAUCUGCCUGGUAGUGGGGGACAACGUUUCGAAAGGAACGCUAAUACCGCAUACGUCCUACGGGAGAAAGCAGGGGACCUUCGGGCCUUGCGCUAUCAGAUGAGCCUAGGUCGGAUUAGCUAGUUGGUGAGGUAAUGGCUCACCAAGGCGACGAUCCGUAACUGGUCUGAGAGGAUGAUCAGUCACACUGGAACUGAGACACGGUCCAGACUCCUACGGGAGGCAGCAGUGGGGAAUAUUGGACAAUGGGCGAAAGCCUGAUCCAGCCAUGCCGCGUGUGUGAAGAAGGUCUUCGGAUUGUAAAGCACUUUAAGUUGGGAGGAAGGGCAGUAAGUUAAUACCUUGCUGUUUUGACGUUACCGAC